RNAcentral lists this transfer RNA (74 nucleotides) under Desulfococcus sp. 4484_241. Its description in RNAcentral is "tRNA-Gln". It matches the Rfam family "tRNA". Rfam says of the family: Transfer RNA (tRNA) molecules are approximately 80 nucleotides in length. Their secondary structure includes four short double-helical elements and three loops (D, anti-codon, and T loops). RNAcentral also lists the same sequence under 2 other names. The record is from RNAcentral. Lineage: Bacteria; Pseudomonadati; Thermodesulfobacteriota; Desulfobacteria; Desulfobacterales; Desulfococcaceae.
UGAGGGAUCGUCUAAUGGCAGGACGACGGGUUCUGGCCCCGUUAGUCAAGGUUCGAAUCCUUGUCCCUCAGCCA